ACGUGAGCAAUCUGCCCCUGACUCUGGGAUAAGCGCUGGAAACGGCGUCUAAUACUGGAUACGAGCUGCAGCCGCAUGGCUAGCAGUUGGAAAGAUUUUUCGGUCAGGGAUGAGCUCGCGGCCUAUCAGCUUGUUGGUGAGGUAAUGGCUCACCAAGGCGUCGACGGGUAGCCGGCCUGAGAGGGUGACCGGCCACACUGGGACUGAGACACGGCCCAGACUCCUACGGGAGGCAGCAGUGGGGAAUAUUGCACAAUGGGCGCAAGCCUGAUGCAGCAACGCCGCGUGAGGGACGACGGC
This 300-nucleotide ribosomal RNA is filed under the name uncultured Microbacteriaceae bacterium. RNAcentral describes it as "bacterial SSU rRNA". It matches the Rfam family "Bacterial small subunit ribosomal RNA", at positions 115 to 415 of the family's 1533-position model. The record is from RNAcentral. Lineage: Bacteria; Bacillati; Actinomycetota; Actinomycetes; Micrococcales; Microbacteriaceae.